UACGUCCACAUCACGUAGAAACACCUGUUCCCGUACGAUCACCAAAGUUAAGCAACGUCGAGCCUUGUCAGUACUUAGAUGGGUGACUGCUUGUGAAUACCAUGUGCU
Acanthosepion pharaonis is the source of this 108-nucleotide non-coding RNA. The record is from the annotation of a GenBank genome assembly. NCBI's taxonomy places the organism in Eukaryota, Metazoa, Mollusca, Cephalopoda, Sepiida, Sepiidae.